This 504-nucleotide ribosomal RNA is filed under the name uncultured bacterium. RNAcentral describes it as "partial 16S ribosomal RNA". It matches the Rfam family "Bacterial small subunit ribosomal RNA", at positions 30 to 523 of the family's 1533-position model. The record is from RNAcentral.
AUUGAACGCUGGCGGCAGGCCUAACACAUGCAAGUCGAACGGUAGCACAGAGAGCUUGCUCUCGGGUGACGAGUGGCGGACGGGUGAGUAAUGUCUGGGAAACUGCCCGAUGGAGGGGGAUAACUACUGGAAACGGUAGCUAAUACCGCAUAACGUCGCAAGACCAAAGUGGGGGACCUUCGGGCCUCACACCAUCGGAUGUGCCCAGAUGGGAUUAGCUAGUAGGUGGGGUAAUGGCUCACCUAGGCGACGAUCCCUAGCUGGUCUGAGAGGAUGACCAGCCACACUGGAACCGAGACACGGUCCAGACUCCUACGGGAGGCAGCAGUGGGGAAUAUUGCACAAUGGGCGCAAGCCUGAUGCAGCCAUGCCGCGUGUAUGAAGAAGGCCUUCGGGUUGUAAAGUACUUUCAGCGGGGAGGAAGGCGGUGAAGUUAAUAACUUCACCGAUUGACGUUACCCGCAGAAGAAGCACCGGCUAACUCCGUGCCAGCAGCCGCAGUAA